GGAGCGGUGCCCGAGCGGCUUAAGGGGCCGGUUUGCUAAACCGGUGUACGGGUAAUCGCCUGUACCGAGGGUUCGAAUCCCUCCUGCUCCG
This 91-nucleotide transfer RNA is filed under the name Phycisphaeraceae bacterium. Its description in RNAcentral is "tRNA-Ser". It matches the Rfam family "tRNA". Rfam says of the family: Transfer RNA (tRNA) molecules are approximately 80 nucleotides in length. The record is from RNAcentral. Lineage: Bacteria; Pseudomonadati; Planctomycetota; Phycisphaerae; Phycisphaerales; Phycisphaeraceae.